This 636-nucleotide long non-coding RNA is filed under the name Elaeis guineensis (African oil palm). RNAcentral describes it as "long non-coding RNA (EGUI_LNC019080)". Lineage: Eukaryota; Viridiplantae; Streptophyta; Magnoliopsida; Arecales; Arecaceae. The record is from RNAcentral.
AAGAAGGCAAUCAGAGACAUUUACUCUAUGUUGGCUCAUUCAAGUAACGUCUAUGUGGCUAGGGCAUACUUAAUGAAAAUUUAUAAUUCUACGAUCUUGGUCAAUCAUCUAUUGAGGAUUAUAAAUGUUACUGUUGGGUAUAAAAUAACCCCAGCCGAAGUUCGUAAGAGGCCGAUCUUCCCAGGGCUCUUCCGGCUUCCGACCUUGUGCGGCGUCUAUCUAAACUUCCUCGGCUGUCCGAGCUUUCACAAUAUCGUCCGGACUCUCCCACCAGUCGACCUUCCACAGUGUCCUCCAGAUUCCUCCAACGGACGAACUCCUAUCGUGCCAUCCGAACUUCUCCAAUAACGAGCUCCUCCAUUCAUCCACUGGACUACUCCAAAUGCUCUCUGGGCUUCACUAUCAGCUAAUUUUCUACAGUGAUCGAUUACUCUCCGAAUCUCUUCCAGACUUCUUCCAGCCACGAUCAACUUUACUCCGAACUUCUUUCGGACUUCGUCAAUGACCGAGCUUCUCCAGCAGCAGGAUUUCUACAGUAACCAGACUCCAUCCAAGUUUCUACGGUGGUCGACUGCCUUCCGAAUUUCAUCCGAGCUCCUACAAGAGUCGAACUCUGUCCGAACUUCUACAACGGAU